AGGCUGGUCUUGAACUCCUGACCUCAAAUGAUCUGCCCGCCUCAGUCUCCCGAAGUGCUGGGAUUACCCGCGCCUGGCCCACAUUUUCAACUAUUUAACUGGUUUACUCCACAUCUUGGGUUUUUUCCUGAAUUCUUACUGUGCUUCAAUCAUCUUGCCCUUCUAUGUGUCUUAAGUUGAAUGAAACUAUCCUCAUACCUCCUAAUCAUUUUUUUUAAUUUCUAGGUUGUUGGCAAGGAUUCUGCAGAAAAAUUAUCCCUACAUUGCAAAGAUUUUAAAAGGACUGGAGGAGCUUGAGUUUCCUCAGACUUCACAAUACAUGGACAUAUUUAAUGAUACCUCUGUCCACUGGUUCCCUGUGCAAAAGCUAGAACAGCUCUCCACAGAUAUUUGGGAGUUUCGGGAAGAACCAGAUUAUCAGGACUGUGAGGACCUUGAAAUCAUCAGGAAGAAGAGAGAAGAUCCUUCUGCUACUGACUGAACUUGCUGUGAGGUACUCAGUGGUGGCUGAGGUAGAAGCUGCCACCGGAGACUCAAGGGAAGGCUGCCAUGGAGGAACUAGAGAGCACUCCUUUGCCAGGAAAGAACAUCAACUUGGCCGUCCUGUUUUGAGGACGAUACCCCACAUGAGGACUUGGUAU
RNAcentral lists this small RNA (641 nucleotides) under Pongo abelii (Sumatran orangutan). RNAcentral's name for it is "retained intron". The record is from RNAcentral. Lineage: Eukaryota; Metazoa; Chordata; Mammalia; Primates; Hominidae.